Molecule: ribosomal RNA, 1154 nt
Filed under: Aeromonas hydrophila
Lineage: Bacteria; Pseudomonadati; Pseudomonadota; Gammaproteobacteria; Aeromonadales; Aeromonadaceae
Description: partial 16S ribosomal RNA
Rfam family: Bacterial small subunit ribosomal RNA
Source: RNAcentral
CACAUGCAAGUCGAGCGGCAGCGGGAAAGUAGCUUGCUACUUUUGCCGGUGAGCGGCGGACGGGUGAGUAAUGCCUGGGAAAUUGCCCAGUCGAGGGGGAUAACAGUUGGAAACGACUGCUAAUACCGCAUACGCCCUACGGGGGAAAGCAGGGGACCUUCGGGCCUUGCGCGAUUGGAUAUGCCCAGGUGGGAUUAGCUAGUUGGUGAGGUAAUGGCUCACCAAGGCGACGAUCCCUAGCUGGUCUGAGAGGAUGAUCAGCCACACUGGAACUGAGACACGGUCCAGACUCCUACGGGAGGCAGCAGUGGGGAAUAUUGCACAAUGGGGGAAACCCUGAUGCAGCCAUGCCGCGUGUGUGAAGAAGGCCUUCGGGUUGUAAAGCACUUUCAGCGAGGAGGAAAGGUCAGUAGCUAAUAUCUGCUGACUGUGACGUUACUCGCAGAAGAAGCACCGGCUAACUCCGUGCCAGCAGCCGCGGUAAUACGGAGGGUGCAAGCGUUAAUCGGAAUUACUGGGCGUAAAGCGCACGCAGGCGGUUGGAUAAGUUAGAUGUGAAAGCCCCGGGCUCAACCUGGGAAUUGCAUUUAAAACUGUCCAGCUAGAGUCUUGUAGAGGGGGGUAGAAUUCCAGGUGUAGCGGUGAAAUGCGUAUAGAUCUGGAGGAAUACCGGUGGCGAAAGCGGCCCCCUGGACAAAGACUGACCUCAGGUGCUAAAGCCUGGGGACAACAGGAUUAGAUACCCUGGUAGUCCCCCCUUAACCAUGUCUAUUUGGAGGCUGUGUCCUUGAAACUGGCUUUCCGAACUAAGCCGUUAAUCUACCGCCUGGGGAGUACGGCCGCAAGGUUAAACUCAAAUGAAUUUCUGGGGGCCCCACAACGGGGGAACAUGUGGGUUAAUCGAUCACCUGAAAACCUUACUGCCUUAAUUUUGGAAACUGUAAAAUCCGGAUUCUUCGGAAUAAAAAAAAGGGUGCAGGCUGCCCCCCCCGGCGGGAAGUUGGUUAACCCCCCCUGCCCCCCUCUUUUUCCCCUUUGGGGGACCAGGAACCCGGGUACCGGAAGGGGGGAAUAUUUUGCCUUCCCGGUACCGGUUUAUGGGAAAGGUUCUCUUAGACACCAAACCCUCCGGGGGCCCUCCCCAGAGAUUUAUC